This 774-nucleotide ribosomal RNA is filed under the name uncultured Neocallimastigales. RNAcentral describes it as "partial large subunit ribosomal RNA". It matches the Rfam family "Eukaryotic large subunit ribosomal RNA", at positions 24 to 616 of the family's 3401-position model. Lineage: Eukaryota; Fungi; Neocallimastigomycota; Neocallimastigomycetes; Neocallimastigales. The record is from RNAcentral.
UACGACUACAUAUCAGGCAUAUCAAUAAGCGGAGGAAAAGAAACUAACUAGGAUUCCCUCAGUAACGGCGAGUGAAGCGGGAAGAGCUCAAAUUUGAAAUCUUCAAGGUUCUACCUUGACGAAUUGUAGUUUAAAGAAGUGUUUUCUGUUGGAGUUUUGGUAAAAGUUCUUUGGAAUAGGACAUCAUAGAGGGUGAGAAUCCCGUAUUUGACCAUUAUUUUCAGCUGUGUGAUACACUUUCAAAGAGUCGGAUUGUUUGGGAAUGCAGUCCAAAAUGGGUGGUAAAUUUCAUCUAAAGCUAAAUAUUGGCGAGAGACCGAUAGCGAACAAGUACCGUGAGGGAAAGAUGAAAAGAACUUUGAAAAGAGAGUUAAACAGUACGUGAAAUUGUCAAAAGGGAAGCGUUUGACACCAGUGUUGUUUUCUCGAAAAUCAAUUAAAAAAAGUUGGAUUUUGUGUUGUAUUGACCUUAACAGCUUGCUUCACUCUUUUCCAGCUUUUUUUAAUGCACUUUUCGUUUAACAAGUCAACAUCAGUUUCUUUUGUUGUAAAAGGGUCAUUGGAAGGUGGCUUUCUCUUCGGAGAAAGUGUUUAUAGCCUUUGAUCUCUGCAAUCGGAGAGACUGAGGUCUGCAGCGUAGAUCCUUCGGGGUUAGAUACAUUUGUGCUAAGCUACAGCUUUUCAUAGACAACUUGUUGACUAUGUUUAGUCUUGUGACUUACCCGCUUAUGCUAUUUUACCUACGCUUAGGAUGUUGAGCGCAUGUCUCUCUCU